RNAcentral lists this ribosomal RNA (305 nucleotides) under uncultured bacterium. Its description in RNAcentral is "bacterial SSU rRNA". It matches the Rfam family "Bacterial small subunit ribosomal RNA", at positions 337 to 659 of the family's 1533-position model. The record is from RNAcentral.
GCCUACGGGGCGCAGCAGUGGGGGAUAUUGCACAAUGGGGGGAACCCUGAUGCAGCGACGCCGCGUGGGUGAAGAAGCGCCUCGGCGCGUAAAGCCCUGUCAGCAGGGAAGAAAAUGACGGUACCUGAAGAAGAAGCCCCCGCUAACUACGUGCCAGCAGCCGCGGUAAUACGUAGGGGGCAAGCGUUAUCCGGAUUUACUGGGUGUAAAGGGGGCGCAGACGGCGAUGCAAGCCAGGAGUGAAAGCCCGGGGCCCAACCCCGGGACUGCGCUUGGAACUCCGUGGCUGGAGUGCAGGAGGGGCG